UCAACCAAGCUUACGAGUUUCAGAAUUUCAAAUCUAGAGUGUUCCUAUACACCACACCAAAAGGGUCUACGUGUAGAGUCAAGAACCACCAAAUCAGAUUCUGCCAACAUUGAUGAACUUGAUGUACAAAUCACAGAAUUCGUAUCUGUAUAUAUUAAAUAUUUCACAUCAUUUAGAAGUGGGACAAACAUGAUAAUAUAAAAAAUAAUAAUGGUUACAUAAUAAAGGACUGAAUCUUCUAUAUAACAAGACAUAAUCAAAAUGAUUUGUUUAUAUUUACAGCAUGGCUUUCUUAUUGGUUGGCUAUGCAGGAGCAGCUACAAUUGCAGCACUCCUCUGCAUGUUACGCUUCUUCUAUCUCAGACGAUGUUGCUCGAACCCCAUCUUCACCGAAUACCCUUUUGUCGGCAUGCUACCACAUGUUCUUUGCAAUUUGUGGCAUGCCCAUGAUUAUUCAACUCAGGUUUUGAAACAACAUGGCGGCACUGGUGAGUUCGUUGGACCAUGGUUUACCGGUAUGAACUACAUGCUCACCUGUGAUCCCCUCAACGUGCACCAUAUGUUGAGCAAAAAUUUCCGUAACUACGUCAAGGGACCCGAGUUUCGGGAGAUUUUUCAAGCUUUCGGAGAUGGCAUUUUCACUGCUGAUGCAGAAGCUUGGAAAUACAGCAGAGAUCUCUUCCAUUCUUUGCUCAAGCAUAAAAGCUUCGAAGUGUUUCUGGAGAAAACUAUUCAGAAGAAGGUGCAGAAUAGCCUACUUCCUUUAUUGAAUCACGUGCAAGACCAAGGGAGGGUGGUGGAUCUUCAAGAUGUCUUCAAUCGCUUCACUUUCGAUAACAUAUGUUCUACAGUUCUUGGUCGUGACCCCGAAUGCCUUUCCAUUGAUUUUCCAGAAGUUGCAAUCGAGAAGGCUUUUAACCAAGCAGAAGAGUCCAUAUUCUACAGACACGUAGUGCCGGGAAGUGUCUGGAAGCUCCAGAAAUGGCUCCAAAUUGGUCAAGAGAAGAAGAUGACAGAAUCAUGCAUAAUACUUGAUGAGUUCAUAUAUUCAUGCAUAGCGUCCAAGAGAGAAGAUCUAAGCAGGUAUGAGGAAAAUGAAACGGGAGAAACUUUUCAUGUUGACUUGUUAACAACUUUGAUGAGAGAAGGAAAGGGAAAAGGAGAAGCACAUGAAGAUAUAUUUCUAAGAGAUGCUGUGUUCAAUCUUUUUGUGGCUGGGAGAGAUACCAUAACUUCAGCUCUCACGUGGUUCUUCUGGCUUGUUGCUACAAACCCUUUGGUGGAAGCGAAGAUUGUUGAAGAGAUGAAUGAAAAGUUUGGAAGCAAUGAAAAGACAGUAUUAAGUGCAGAGGAGGUGAAAAAGCUGGUUUAUCUGCAUGGUGCUAUGUGUGAAACGUUGAGGCUGUUUCCUCCUAUACCAUUCGAACGCAAGAAAGCAAUUGAAGCUGACGUGCUUCCUAGUGGGCAUGGUGUUAAUCCGAGAACAAAGAUAUUACUAUUUUUGUAUGCAAUGGGAAGAGUUGAAGAAAUAUGGGGAGAAGAUUGCAUGGAGAUGAAGCCAGAGAGAUGGAUCUCAGAGAAAGGAGGUAUUGUUCAUGUACCAUCUUACAAAUUCAUUGCUUUCAAUGCAGGACCUCGAAAUUGCUUGGGGAAAGACUUGUCCUUUAUCCAAUUGAAGAUGGUGGCAGCAGCUAUUUUGCGCAGUUACCAUGUUCAACUGGUGGAGGGUUAUGUUGCAACUCCUACACUCUCCAUUGUUCUUCUUAUGAAGGAUGGUUUGAAGGUAAAUAUAACGAAAAGAAAGUCUUAGUUUGACUUCAAAAUUCGGACAUCAAACUUGGUAAAAAAGUAUGUCUUGUCGGUUGUGUAAUGUGUUCUGUCUGUAUCAUUUACAGCAUUUCGUUUCGGACAAUGAUAUUUUAACACUAUUUUUUGACAUUAUUGUGACACUGCACACGUGUCAAGAUGUGAUUGGACGAUUUCAAAUUAAAAAAGUUGAGGCAGGGAUAUAUUUGGAAGAGAAAAACCAAAAUUUGUUUUUUAAUUUGAAAUCGUCCAACCAUAUUUUGACACGUGUGCAGUAUCAAAAUGGUGUCAAAAAAUGAUGUUAAAAUUUUAUUUUCCUUUCGUUUCUGAUAAUAACAAAGGGAAAUAAUCAUUUUCAGGAUAAUGAUAUUUUAACAACAUUUUUUGACAACUUUUUUAACAACUGGACAUACAUGUUAUUAUUUUAUUGGUCUAUUUAAAUUUAUGUUUAAAAAAUAUUUAAAACGGACUAAUCACAAACUGUCAUGUAUGAAUUGUCAAAAAAUUAUUAAAAAAGUAUUGUUAAAAGAAGUUUUUCUUUUCAAUAACUUCACCAUAAUUUGUGUGUAUACCUUACCAUUUUAUGGAGAAUAUUAUUGAGAUUUUUCAGAUUAAGAUAUAUCUCUAAUUAUAAGUGAAUUUAAAUUUAACUUAUUCUCGUCAAACCAACUUAAAGACAAAAAAUACUUCCAUGUGUAUAUUUGAAAUAGACCAAAUAUUUAUUCAAUAUGAUAUCUUCAACGUUUAAGACUUAUAUUUUCGACAUUCAUAAUUACAUUACAUGGUUAUAGAAAAAUAUGAAGCAUUAAAAGAUAUUCAUAAUUUAUUCUAUGAAAAAAAUCAUAUAAUAUUAACAAAUUAAUAUGUCAAAUAUAUUAGCCAUUAGAAACAUAUUAGCCAUUAAAAAAAAUUGUUGAUAACAGGGAACAGAUUCUAGUAAUUUAUGUGAAAAUUGACAUUUAGUUGAUUAUGACUCUAAAUAUAAAAUGCCAUAUUUUAUGUUUUGGUUAGAAUUAUAAUAUAUGGUGUUUUUCUUUAUUUAAGAAAAAUCUUGUUCUUGAAACUUAAAAAUUGGGAAGAGUCACAAUACCUAGACAUCAUAAGGUUGUAUGUAUAUUCCGAUAUAAUGAUUUAAUAUAUAUUUUUAUUAUAGUUCUUUCAUUUUUCUAUUUCUGCUUCUCUUUUUCAUUUUUGUCACAUUUUUUUUUAUAUCUACGCCUUGUAUAUUUCUUUCUACUAUACACCAAAAAUAGGCAUUGCAUCAUACAAUGUCAUUCUUUAUUAUGAUUUAAGUUUCAUUUGUUUCUUGUAUGGUUAUUUAAUUAAUAUACAAGCAUUUCAAAUCUAUGGCAUGUUAGUUAGGUCUUAAUUAGCUGGAAUUCAUUUAACAUGCAUUCUAUGAAUGUAAUAUUUUCUUAAUUGUAGUCAUAUUUUAAUUUGGAUAAGAUCUCAAAUGGGUAUUUAUAAAAAUAAAUAUAAAUUUACUGUAUUUAUAAUUUUUACGAUUUUUUUUCUAAUCAUAGGUCCUACAUCAUUUUCUAUCUAUUUUAAGAGCUUGUCCUGGAAUACGAUGAAAUGGAAACAUAGAAGAAAAAUAUUAAAUCUAUUUACAAAAGAUAGUAUUGCAUCCAACCUAAUAUCUCAAAGCAUUAAAUGUGAGUCAAUUUUUCUUCCAUAUUUAUAUAUAUAUGUACGGUUGAAGUUACGUAUUUCGUAUUUCUUUUCUAAUAACUUGGUAUUUAUUUCACUGAUAUUUGUAAAAACGUAUAUGUGAUGUGAUAUGUUAACGUUUCGUGUACUAGCUACUUAACCGAUUGAGGUUACAAUAAAUUUUCAGAAUAAUAUCUCAUGGAUCUCAAAAAUGCCAUCAACACCUAAAUAAAAAUAAAAAGAGAUACAAAUAAUAAGAAAUUUACAAUAGCUUAGAAAGAAAAGUGUCAAGAAGGUAUUUGCAAAAAAAAAAAUAAAAAAAAUCUAAAUUUAUCAUAUGAAGAUAAAGAAAAUGAGUGAUAAUAUAUCCGAAAUAUUUGAAAUUGAAAAUGAGUGUAAACAUUGGCAUAGAAAAAAAAUCUAUUCACAUUUAAAUUUUUUAUAUUCAUUUAAUAUUAUUUUUAGUUAUUUUUUACUUUUAAAAAAAAAUAUAAAAAUUUACACUUUUAUUUUACUCUAAUAGUCUGUUAAAUAAAUGUAAAAAUAUAUUAUAUACUAUUUCACGUAGGAAAAGCUACUCUAAACAAACUCAAAUGAAAAUUAAAUUUCAAAUCAAAAUAAUUGGUGUAAAUUAAAUAUUAAUAAGAUAACUUUUCCAAACCAAUAUGUGCUAUUUCUGUCUGAAAACUUCAACAAUAAUUAAUUAAUGGAUUAAUAUUAGGAUCACACACUUUUAUACCUAUUUUACAUACAAAAUAAGAUGGUUAUAAAAAAUAAAUUUUUAUAUUUAAAAAAAAAAAAUUUUUAAAUAAAUAUAAAAGUUUAGAAAAAAAAUUCUUUAACCACUCUUUUUUAAUAAUUUUUUUACAACGUAUUUUUAUUCAUUUGUUUUAAAUAUUUUAUUAAUAUAAAUUUAAAUAAAGUAAUAAAAUGAUGACACUGUUCAAUUAUGAAAAAAAUUCUUAAAAUAUCAUUAUUAAAAAAUUUAUCAACGUGAAAGGAUAAUUUUUUUUGAAAAUAAUAUUUUAACACCAUUUUUUGAUACUAUUUUGACACUGCACACGUGUUAAAAUAUGGUUGGACGAUUUCAAAUUAAAAAAAGGUGAACCAAAGACAUAUUUGAAAAAGAAAAAUCAAAGUUUUUUUUUAAUUUAAAAUCGUCCAAUCAUAUUUUGACACGUGUGUAGUGUCAAAAUUUUGUAAAAAAAAUGAUGUUAAAAUACCAUUUUCCUUUUUUUCUAUAUAAGAUGACAACAAAGUCAGAAAGAUUAUCACAACACAACCAAAUAGCUUUUGUUUUGCUGAUUAAUGUAUAACGGCCAUGCUUUGCUAUGAAACAGCAGCAACAGUUGCAGCAUUCUUCUGCAUCAUCUAUUUCUUCCAUCGGAGAUUCCCUCUCCUCACUGACUACCCCAUCAUCGGAAGGCUACCGGAGGUACUCUGCAAUCUGUGGCGCAUCCAUGAUUUUACAGUUCAGGUGCUCAAAUCACGUGGGGCCACUACUCAGCUCACUGCACCUUGGUUUACCAAUAUCAACUAUUUGGUCACUACCGACCCUCUCAACGUGCAUCAUGUCUUGACCAAGAAUUUCAACAACUAUGUCAAAGGACCAGAAUGUCGUGAGAUUUUAGAGGCUUUCGGACAUGGGAUAUUUGCUGCUGAUGAAGAAGCAUGGAAAUACAACAGGGAUCUCUUCCAUUCCCUCUUUAAACACAGAAGCUUCGAGGAGUUUCUGGAGAAAACCAUUCGGAAGAAGGUGCAGAAUAGUCUACUUGUCGUGUUGGAUCAUGUGCAACAACAAGGGAGCGUGGUGGAUCUUCAAGAUGUCUUCAGUCGCUUCACUUUCGAUAACAUAUGUUCUAUAGUUCUUGGAUACGACCCUAAUUGCCUUUCCCUUGAUUUUCCACAAGUUGCAAUCGAGAAGGCUUUUCAUGAAAUAGAGGAGUCCGUUUUCUACAGAAAUAUAUUGCCAAAGAGUCUUUGGAAGCUGCAGAAAUGGCUUCAGAUUGGUAAAGAGAAGAAGAUGACAGAAGCAUGCAUAACAAUUGAUGAGUUCAUAUAUUCAUGCAUAGCGUCUAAGAAAGAAGAUCUAAGCAGGUACGAGGAAAACGAAACGGGAGAAACUUUUCAUGUUGAUUUGUUAACAACUUUGAUGAGAGAAGGAAAGGGAAAAGGAGAAGCACAUGAAGAUAUAUUUCUAAGGGAUGCUGUGUUCAAUCUUUUUGUGGCUGGGAGAGAUACCUUAACUUCAGCUCUCACAUGGUUCUUUUGGCUUGUUGCUACAAACCCUUUAGUGGAAGACAAGAUUGUUGAAGAGAUGAAUGAAAAGCUUGGAAGCAAUGAGAAGACAGUUUUAAGUGCAGAGGAGGUGAAAAAGCUGGUUUAUCUACACGGUGCUAUAUGUGAAUCAUUGAGGCUGUUUCCUCCCAUACCCUUCCAACGCAAGGAAGCACUUAAAGCUGACGUGCUUCCUAGUGGUCAUGGUGUUAAUCCCAACACAGUUAUACUUUUUUGUUUGUAUUCAAUGGGGAGAUAUGAGGAAAUAUGGGGAAAAGAUUGCAUGGAGUUCAAGCCAGAAAGAUGGAUAUCAGAAAAAGGAGGUAAUGUUUAUGUACCAUCUUACAAAUUCAUUGCUUUCAAUGCAGGACCAAGAACUUGCUUGGGGAAAAACUCGUCCUUUGUUCAAAUGAAGAUGGUGGCAACUGCAAUUUUGCACAAGUAUCAUGUCGAAGUGGUGGAAGGUUGUAUUGUUAAGCCAAACCUUUCAAUCGUUCUUCUGAUGAAGGAUGGUUUAAAGGUUAAGAUAAGAAAAAGAGAAACUUAAUUUGAGUUACGUGGGAAUUUCUGUGACAGAUUGUAUAAUAAAUCUUAUUACGAGGAAAUGUGUUGGUUAAGAGUUACUUUAAUGAUAAAAGUAGCUUGUUGUUUUAUUAACAAUGAUAUAUUAAAGCUUAAUUUUGAGACUGACGUGAUGUUUUAUUUUUGAGUUAGAAUUUUUUUCUUUUUAAGUUACUGACUUGGAAUUUGCGAGUUUGAAAAACAAAACAAAAAUUGCUUUUUUUGAAUGACAUGACUUCACAUGUUAAAGAACGAUUAAUGUUGCUUCUGUUGCUGUUCCUUUUUUGUGUGCUUGCUCUUUUAAAUCCUGUUUUUUUGUUCUUUUGCUGUGUCUUCGAUUGAACAAAGCAUAGAAAAAAAAAUUUAGAUGUCCUGUGCGAGUAACGACGAAGUCCUUCUUUUUUUUUUUUCACCAUCAUUAACUCAACUUUUCUAAAUUUAUCUAUGAUUCUUUUUCAUGGCCUAAUCUAUCAUAAUUCAUAAUUAACAUUAAAUACUUUCGUUGGAUCCUGUUUUUGCAUAAUAUUUAAAUGAGAACAAGUUUGCUACAUAAGUGAGGAGUAACACAACAUUUUGUUUAGUAGUUUAACAAAAUUUCAUUCGCUAAAACUUUUAACAACAACCAAACUAAUGGGAUUUAAUUCAUAUUUAUCACAAAGAUUAUCAUAUUAAUCAUGCAAAAACAUAAAGUAGUUGAAUAUGAUAAUAUGUUUCUAAAAAAAAUUGUCAAAACUGAUAUGAAAGAGAAAUGGGGAAUUAUGAACAAAUAAGUGGAUAACACUGAUGAAUUUUUGUACAUGUUUAAUAAAAUGUAAUCCAAUGAAAAUGGUAAAAACAACAAGUGAGAUGUAAUUUAUAUCUAUCGUGAAGGUUAUUAAGGUGAUCAUAUAAGAACAUAAAAUGGUUAAAUAUGUCAAGCUUCUCUUGUCGAGCUGGCCGAGCUUCUCUCCUGCCAACUUUAUUGAGCUUGCAAGUUUUAGUCAAUUUCUCUCCUGUCAAAUUUAGCCAAAUUUCUUUUCUAUUUAAAUUAUCGAAAUUCUCUUUUAUUUAAAUUACUAAGGUUUGCUCCUAUCACGCUUUUCGAGCUUCUUUCUUAUCGAGUAGAAACAAUAGACAAAAUAACUAUAUGACUUUGUUUUGAACCGAACUUCUCUCCAUCACUAGGGAUUUUUGAUUUCAAACUUCAAAUUUAAACUUUCAAGUCAAAUAUUUUCUUGUGGUAUGAUGUUGUUUAUGGCUUGAAGUACAAUUUUAAACUUUGUUUAUAUUGUUCUUAUUUAGAUUUUUGACUAAAAACAACAACUUUUGGAGUUUGUAAUAUUUGAUUAUUAAAGUACUAAUGGUAAUAGGUUUGGACAAGCCACCAACUGAUAGGUUGUGAGCGGAUCCAUAUAGUCAGCCAUUGAAGAUAAUUAAAAGUUAAUUAAUGGGAUAACAGUCAUUGAUCGACGGUUAACAAAUAUAUUAACAACUAUUAAUGGUCAAUUAAUAGGAUAAAUUGUCAUAAGCUCUAUAAAUACAUGUUUGACAUGGAAAUAAACACACUUUUUUCAUGAUUUAAUUCUAUAGACCUUUUUAUGAAACAUAUCUAAUUUCAAUGUUAUUUUGUAAGUCAAAUUCUUGAAACAUCAAUUGAUUCUAGAAAGAAAAUUAAGAAGUGUGAACGAUUGUGACCACGAGAGCAAGUUAAGUAAAGAAGACUGAUGCUAAACAACAAAAACAAUUGCUAUAAGAAAUAAGUCUUUUAACAAAUGAAAUUAGUAACCGAGAAAAGUUGGUCAUUUGUGAUUGAAAUAAUAUUGAAUAUUGAAUGAUAUUUGCCGCAAACCUAUUACCAGAUAGAAAUAGCGAUUGAAAAUUAAAUUUUAGUCACUAAUUAAUUGACGGUUUUUUAUAUCAAAUGAAAAUAAAGUUUUAGUGAUUGAAUUUUCAACUAAUAGAAAUCUUGUAUUAGUGAUCGAAAAUUCGAUAGUCACUAAAUAUGUAUAACAUGAUAGUUAGCGACAAAAGGUUUUUGUUGUUAAAUAUAGUGUUUUUAGUUAUUACAUUAGCGAACAAGUUAAAUAUUAAUUUAGUGGCAAAAACAUUUUUUUUUGCUAAAUAUGUAUAUUUUGGUAAUUAGUGGUUGAAAAAUUUGAAUUUUUCGUGACCGAAUUAGCGAUAAAAAAUUUUGUUUAUCACUAAAUAAUUUUAAGUUUUAAUUAGUUACCGAUGACCAAAUAAAUUUUUAAUGAUAUUGAUUUGUUUAGAAACAGAAGAUGCUAUAAAGUCUUCUUCUCUACAGAAAUACUUUCAUAUUAUGUAAUGAACAUAUUUAAAUAUACGAUCAUUUGAAAACUAUAAAUAUUCAUAUUACAUGUUAAUUAUGCCUUAAUUUGUUACAAUUCAUUUAACAUGCAUUUAUGAAUGUAAUAUUCUCUUAAUUAUGUCUCAUAUUUUAAUUUGGACAUAAGAUCAGAAAUCCUUAUUUAGAGAAAUAAAUAUAAAUUUACUAUAUUCUUUGGAUUGUUUACUAUAUUUUUCUAAUCAUAGGCCCUAGACCGUUAUCUCUCUAUUUUACGAGCUGAUUCUGGAAUACAAUGAAAUGGAAACAUAGAAUAAGAAUAUUAAAUCUAUUUACAAAUGAAUUUAAUAUUGCAUCCAACUCAAUAUCUUAAAGCAUUAAAUGCGAGUCAUUUUUCUUCCAUAUAUACGGUUCAAUUUUAGUAUUUUUUUUUAAGAAUUCCGAUAUCUUAACCAUUUUUUAUAACAAUAUUUUAUAAUAGACUACAUGUUCCUAAUUUAUCAGUCUGUUUAUAAAUUAUUGGACUAAUCACAACCUACAACUUAAGAUAUUGUAAAAAAAUUAUAAAACAAAAAUUGGUAAAAAAAUAUUCUUCUUUUUUUAAUAACUUGCCAUGUAUUUUAUUGAUAUUUGUAAAAACUUAAAUGUGAAUAGAUAUGAUAUGUUAAGGUUUCGUGUAUACCUACUUAACCAAUUGAUGUUACAAUAAAUGUUCAUAUAGUAAGACAGCUAAAAAAGACAAUAAUUAAUACCUAAUAGAUAUUUAAAAGUGUCCAUCAUCAUCUAAAUAAAAAGGAAAAAAUUGUCUUUAACAACUUUUUUUUGACAAUUUUUUUUAUAACGCAUACGUGACAGUUUGUGAUUGGUCUGUUUCAAAUAUUUUUUUAGAAUAAAUUCAAACAGGCCAAUAGAAUUGUAACACGUAUCCUGUUGUCAAAAAGUUGUUAAAAAAAAUUGUUAAAAUAUCAUUGUCCAAAUAAAAAAGAAAAAAUAAUAAUAAAUUUACAAGAGCUUAGACAAAGAGUUUAAAAAAGGUGUUUGCCAAAAAAUAAAAUAAAAUAAUCUAAAUUUCAUUAUACGAAGACAAAAGAAAACGAGGGAUAUGCAUAUAUUCAAAAUAUUUGAAAUUGAAAAUAAGUGGGAUUAUAAUAGAGAAGAACUAUAGUCCAGUCAACUCAAAUAAAAAAUGAGAUUAAAUUCUAAUUGGUGCAAAAUCAACAAUUUUAAAUAUACACUGAUAAUUUUGAAUGAGAUAACACUAUAAGAAAAAUAUAUAUUAGAGUUGGUAAAAACUAACGCAAAAGUAGAGAAAUAAAUACUAAUAAUACUUAUUUUAAAUAAAAAGUACUUCAACCAAAUUCAAUAUAAAACUAAAAACGUUAUAAUGGAUAAAAGAGAUGAAAAAAGUGUAGAUGAAUAUAAAUAAAAGAUAUGUUUGUUGAUGAAGAAAAUGUAUUUGAAUAAAAAAUAUGAACAUGUAAAGAUUUAUAUAAAAAAUAAAAACCUAUAAGCAAAGAUAUUAUCUUAAACUUAAAUAUUAAGACAAAAAGUAAUAUAUUAUUCAUAUUUCUUUAUUAUGAAAGUUUACAUAUUUGUGAGCUUAAAUUUAAACAAUAUAAAUUUAAAUAAGUAUUAAAAAUAUAUCAUAUUAAUAUUGAUUUAAUUCACACUAUUUUAAAUAAAUCAUAAAAAGAAACAAAGUUGGUGUAUAUUUAUGAGAAUAUAUAACAUCUAAACGAAAGAUAUAGUAUAUCAUAUGCAAUCAAGAGAAAUAAAGAAAAAUAAACGAUAUUAUUAGAUUAAUAUUUAAAUUAAUGAGCUAUUCAUUACCCUUAAAAAAGCACAUUGUAUACAGAUGAUAGAGUUUUCAAAACGUCAUUUUCCAAUGCAUCAUCGCCCAUUUUCUUUAUAACAUUAUCUUUUUCAGUCGUAUUUGUCAACAAAGUAGGGCAAUGUUACAUCAAAAUAUUUAACCAUAUUUUGACAUAAUAUAUUUAUAACUUUUUUCAUUAAAUUUAAAAUAAAUCAUCACAAUAACAAAUAAAUAAUAAAUUAAUAAAAAACAACGUAUAUGUUUAAUUAAUAUGUUGUAAAAAAAUAAUUUUUUUAACAAUUUUUUUACAAUAAACUAUUUUACUGGUGUGUAUAUUUAAAAUGGAUUAAUUACAAACUAUCGCAUAAAUCAUUAUAAAAAAAUUAUCAUAAAAAAGUUGUGAAAAAAACAUUUUCUAAAAAAAUUAAUGUAUGAAAAUAUUUUUUUCCUUAAAAUAUGCGAUUGUAUAGCAAAUCAAAUCCUUCGUCCUUUUCACUAACUUCUAACAACCUUCAUCAUUUAAUAAUGACUACAUAGUUCAACUAAAACAAAUAUCUAAAUGAUUCUAUAUAAGAUGUGGAAACAAAGCUACAAACAUCACAACACAACCAAAUAGCUUUUGUUUUGUUGAUUGAUGUCUAUAGCGAUGUUUUGCUAUGCAGCAGCAGCAAUUGCAGCAGUCUUCUGCAUAAUCUAUUUCUUCCAUCGGAGACUAUGUUGCAGAUACCCUCUCUUCACCGACUACCCCAUCAUCGGAAUGCUACCGGCGUUACUCUGCAAUCUGUGGCGCAUCCAUGAUUUUUCUGUUGAGGUGCUCAAAUCACAUGGGGGAACUGGUGAGUUCACUGGGCCAUGGUUUACAAACAUGAACUAUUUGAUCACCAGUGACCCCAUCAACGUGCACCAUAUUUUGAGCAAGAAUUUCAGCAACUACGUCAAGGGACCUGAGUUUCGUGAGAUCUUUCAGGCUUUCGGAGAUGGGAUAUUCACUGCUGAUGCAGAAACAUGGAAGUACAACAGGGAUCUCUUCCAGUCCCUCUUUAAAAACAGAAGCUUCGAGGUGUUUCUGGAGAAAACCAUUCGGAAGAAGGUGCAGAAUAGUCUACUUGUCGUGUUGGAUCAUGUGCAACAACAAGGGAGGGUGGUGGAUCUUCAAGAUGUCUUCAAUCGCUUCACCUUCGACAACAUAUGUUCCACAGUUCUUGGAUACGACCCUAAUUGCCUCUCCCUUGAUUUUCCAGAAGUUGCAAUCGAGAAGGCUUUUAAUGAAAUAGAGGAGUCCAUUUUCUACAGACAUGUAAUGCCAAAGCGUCUUUGGAAGCUGCAAAGAUGGCUUCAAAUUGGUCGAGAGAAGACGAUGACAGAAGCAUGCAAAUCGUUUGAUGAGUUCAUACAUGCACUCAUAGCGUCUAAGUUUGAAAAACUAAGCAAGUACAACGAAAAUAAAACAGGAGAAGCCUGUGCUGAUUUGCUGACAACUGUGAUGAGAGAGGGGAAGGAACAACACGAUGCUGGCUUUCUAAGGGAUGCUGUGUUCAAUCUUUUUGUAGCUGGGAGAGAUACCUUAACUUCAGCUCUCACAUGGUUCUUUUGGCUUGUUGCUACAAACCCUUUGGUGGAAGCGAAGAUUCUUGAAGAGAUGAAUGAAAAGAUUGGAAGAAAUGAAAAUACAGCAUCGAUUUUAACUAUAGAGGAAGUGAAAAAACUAGUUUAUCUGCAUGGUGCUAUAUGUGAAACAUUGAGACUCUUUCCUUCUAUACCUUUCGAACGCAAACAAGCCCUUGAAGCUGACGUGCUUCCUAGUGGUCAUGGUGUUAAUCCCAGAACAAUGAUAUUAUUUUCACUGUAUGCAAUGGGAAGAUUUGAGGAAAUAUGGGGAGAAGAUUGCAUGGAGUUGAAGCCAGAGAGAUGGAUUUCACAGAAAGGAGGUAUUGUUUAUGUACCAUCUUACAAAUUCGUUGCUUUUAAUGCAGGACCUAGGACAUGCUUAGGUAAAGAGUUGUCCUUUCUUCAAAUGAAGAUUGUUGCAGCUGCUAUUUUGCGCAAUUAUCAUGUCCAAGUGGUGGAAGGUUCUGUUGUUACGCCAAAUCUUUCUGUUGUUCUUCUCAUGAAGAAUGGUUUAAAGGUUAAGAUAACGAAAAGAGAAACUUAAUUUGAUGGACGUGGGAAUUUCUAUGUCAGAUCGAUGUACAAUGACUUCCAUAUGAUAUAAUGAAUCUUAUGUUGUCUACUUUCUGAGAAAAUGGAAAUGAUAAUGAAUAAAAGAAAGAAAAAUGAUAUUUUGAAACCAAUUUUUUGACAUUAUCUUGACACUGCACACGUGUCAAAAUGUGGU
Molecule: long non-coding RNA, 12726 nt
Filed under: Vigna radiata
Lineage: Eukaryota; Viridiplantae; Streptophyta; Magnoliopsida; Fabales; Fabaceae
Description: long non-coding RNA (VRAD_LNC000012)
Source: RNAcentral